GAACGCAGCUCAGUCGAGAUUCUACGGGAGGCAGCAGUGGGGAAUAUUGGGCAAUGGAGGAAACUCUGACCCAGCGACGCCGCGUGCGGGAUGAAGGCCUUCGGGUUGUAAACCGCUUUCAGCAGGGAAGAAGCGAAAGUGACGGUACCUGCAGAAGAAGCACCGGCUAACUAUGUGCCAGCAGCCGCGGUAAUACAUAGGGUGCAAGCGUUGUCCGGAAUUAUUGGGCGUAAAGAGCUCGUAGGUGGUUCGUCACGUCGGAUGUGAAACUCUGGGGCUUAACCCCAGACCUGCAUUCGAUACGGGCGAGCUUGAGUAUGGUAGGGGAGUCUGGAAUUCCUGGUGUAGCGGUGGAAUGCGCAGAUAUCAGGAGGAACACCAAUGGCGAAGGCAGGACUCUGGGCCAUUACUGACACUGAGGAGCGAAAGCGUGGGGAGCGAACAGGAUUAGAUACCCUGGUAGUCCACGCCGUAAACGGUGGGCACUAGUUGUGGGGACCUUCCACGGUCUCUGCGACACAGCUAACGCAUUAAGUGCCCCGCCUGGGGAGUACGAUCGCAAGAUUAAAACUCAAAUGAAUUGACGG
RNAcentral lists this ribosomal RNA (587 nucleotides) under uncultured Micrococcineae bacterium. RNAcentral's name for it is "bacterial SSU rRNA". It matches the Rfam family "Bacterial small subunit ribosomal RNA", at positions 316 to 916 of the family's 1533-position model. Lineage: Bacteria; Bacillati; Actinomycetota; Actinomycetes; Micrococcales. The record is from RNAcentral.